GACGAACGCUGGCGGCGUGCUUAACACAUGCAAGUCGAACGGAAAGGCCCUGCUUUUGUGGGGUUCUCGAGUGGCGAACGGGUGAGUAACACGUGAGUAACCUGCCCUUGACUUUGGGAUAACUUCAGGAAACUGGGGCUAAUACCGGAUAGGAGCUCCUGCUGCAUGGUGGGGGUUGGAAAGUUUCGGCGGUUGGGGAUGGACUUGCGGCUUAUCAGCUUGUUGGUGGGGUAGUGGCUUACCAAGGCCUUGACGGGUAGCCGGCCUGAGAGGGUGACCGGGCACAUUGGGACUGAGAUACGGACCAGACUGCUACGGGAGGCAGCAGUGGGGAAUAUUGCACAAUGGGCGGAAGCGUGAUGCAGCGACGCCGCGUGCGGGAUGACGGCCUUCGGGUUGUAAACCGCUUUCGCCUGUGACGGAGCGUGAGUGACGGUAAUGGGUAAAGAAGCACCGGCUAACUACGUG
This 468-nucleotide ribosomal RNA is filed under the name uncultured bacterium. RNAcentral describes it as "partial 16S ribosomal RNA". It matches the Rfam family "Bacterial small subunit ribosomal RNA", at positions 28 to 507 of the family's 1533-position model. The record is from RNAcentral.